CAGUGGUUUUGUUGUUUUCAUGCAGAAGUCCUCAUCUCCUGAAGCUGCAAGAAGAGACAGAGCCCAGCCUGAUAAUCUGAGGACUGAACUUCAAAGGUCACCCAGCCAAAAUAAUCUACUCUGCCUGCCCAAGUGUGAAGCCUAGUGUGAAACCUACUCCAGAGGUGAAACCCCACCAAGAGAUGAAAACCACUUUGGGAAAUACCUUAUGUCUGAUAUUUUCUUCUUCAUUUUUUGAUAGGACUUUUUUUUUCCUGCUCAAAAGUGACUAUCUGGUAGUACAUUCCCAGAGGAUCCUGGCCAGGUAACAGAGAAGUCUGAAAGGCUACCUUGAGAUAAGGUACUAACAGCCUGUGGUAGCUUUAAUAGAAUAUUCUGGUUUAAAUAACAACCUUGAACAUCCAACUUAUUCAGAUUCAACAAACAUCUAUCGAGUAUUUACCCUCUGCAGAUAAGACAAGGCCAUGUAUUAGAUGUUUCCUCAUGUGUUAUAUCAUUUAGUGAUUACAACAAACAUCAAAGGUAGCAUCCCUACUUUACAAAGUAAAACACAGAUACUCAGAAAGGGUAAUUUAUUCACUGAAAGUCAAAGUGAGAUGAAUUCAAACAUAGGUCCUCUAACACCCAGGGCACAGACUGAUGAUGUUCAUGACCAGCUGAGUUUAUGAAAUCUCUUACGCUGUCUGUCCCUAAUCUGCCUAUACAUUAGCAAGGUGUAGAGAAGCACCAUGCUUCUGUCCAACAUAACAGGGUUAGAAGGUCACUUUUCUGCAUGUUUCUACAUUAUUUUCAAAACUGCCAUUCAUCUGCGUUUUCAAAUAAAUAUCAACAAAAUUACUUUUGUUAGCCUGUAGUUACUUUGCUAUCCUACAGCCUUAGUCACAUGUAAGCAGAUUACUAGAGCAGCAUGUGUUUCAAAUCUCUUCCUGGGAAGGAGUCAACAGGUGGAAAAACAAAUGCUAAGCAAACCAUCUAGAAGACUCCUUCUCAAGGCUUUAAAUGCAAAACAAUGUGGAUAGGACACAUGGAUAUAUCGUGCCAUCUUCUGCUUUAGAAAAUGAUUACUUUGCACCUGUGACCCAUUUACUAAACCUCAAAACUCUUGGUUUAAGAUAUGUUGUUUUGUAAUUAA
Molecule: long non-coding RNA, 1132 nt
Organism: Homo sapiens (human)
Lineage: Eukaryota; Metazoa; Chordata; Mammalia; Primates; Hominidae
Source: Ensembl